UACGUAGGUGGCAAGCGUUGUCCGGAAUCAUUGGGCUUAAAGGGCGCGUAGGCGGCGGUGUAAGUUGGAAGUAAAAUCCCAUCGGCUCAACCGUGGAAUUGCUCCCAGUACUGCAUCGCUCGAGGGGGAUAGGGGUUUGCGGAACUACCGGUGGAGCGGUGAAAUGUGUUGAUAUCGGUGGGAACGCCAGUGGCGAAAGCGGCAAACUUGACCCUUCCUGACGCUGAGGCGCGAAAGCUAGGGGAGCAAACGGG
This 254-nucleotide ribosomal RNA is filed under the name uncultured bacterium. Its description in RNAcentral is "partial 16S ribosomal RNA". It matches the Rfam family "Bacterial small subunit ribosomal RNA", at positions 524 to 776 of the family's 1533-position model. The record is from RNAcentral.